RNAcentral lists this ribosomal RNA (482 nucleotides) under uncultured bacterium. RNAcentral describes it as "bacterial SSU rRNA". It matches the Rfam family "Bacterial small subunit ribosomal RNA", at positions 28 to 525 of the family's 1533-position model. The record is from RNAcentral.
GACGAACGCUGGCGGCGUGCCUAACACAUGCAAGUCGAGCGAUGAAAUUUUCUUCGGAAAAUGGAUUAGCGGCGGACGGGUGAGUAACACGUGGGUAACCUGCCCUAUAGAGAGGGAUAGCCUUCCGAAAGGGAGAUUAAUACCUCAUAAUAUCCGAGUAUCGCAUGAUACAUGGAUUAAAGGAGUAAUCCGCUAUAGGAUGGACCCGCGGCGCAUUAGCUAGUUGGUGAGGUAACGGCUCACCAAGGCGACGAUGCGUAGCCGACCUGAGAGGGUGAUCGGCCACAUUGGGACUGAGACACGGCCCAGACUCCUACGGGAGGCAGCAGUGGGGAAUAUUGCACAAUGGGGGAAACCCUGAUGCAGCAACGCCGCGUGAGUGAUGACGGUCUUCGGAUUGUAAAGCUCUGUCUUUAGGGACGAUAAUGACGGUACCUAAGGAGGAAGCCACGGCUAACUACGUGCCAGCCGCCGCGGUAAUU